GAUGAACGCUAGCGGCAGGCUUAAUACAUGCAAGUCGAACGGUAACAGGUGUAGCAAUACGCGCUGACGAGUGGCAGACGGGUGAGUAACACGUACGCAAUUUUCCUUUAUCUGGUGGAUAGCCUCGGGAAACCGAGAUUAAUACACCAUAGCAUUUCGGGUUGGCAUCAACUUGAAAUUAAAGCUCAGGCGGAUAAAGAUGAGCGUGCGUUUGAUUAGCUUGUUGGUAAGGUAACGGCUUACCAAGGCAACGAUCAAUAACUGGUGUGA
This 270-nucleotide ribosomal RNA is filed under the name uncultured bacterium. Its description in RNAcentral is "partial 16S ribosomal RNA". It matches the Rfam family "Bacterial small subunit ribosomal RNA", at positions 28 to 295 of the family's 1533-position model. The record is from RNAcentral.